RNAcentral lists this long non-coding RNA (1110 nucleotides) under Equus caballus (horse). RNAcentral's name for it is "lncRNA (ENSECAG00000053037.1)". Lineage: Eukaryota; Metazoa; Chordata; Mammalia; Perissodactyla; Equidae. The record is from RNAcentral.
GGCGCAUCAUGAGCACUAGUAAGUGUCAGCUGGUAUCACAUUAGCACAGGUGCUCUUCUCUCUUGCUCUCACAAUCCUGCGCGGCCUCACCCUUUCUCCACAGGCCAGAACAGCUCCCUGCAGAAGUUAGCAAAACCAAGUAAAUUGUAAGAUUCAGUUGAAGCAAAGGAAUCAGGCCCCCAUCAGAAGAGAAUGAGAAGAGCGGGGCCAGAGCGGUGGGAGACAGGGUCUCAGGAAUCUGUUCCUGCCUUGGAACUGGAACUGGCCUGCUGUGUGACGUUGGCUCCAGAUCGCAUUCCAAGAUUCUGCUUCAGGAUCUCCCCUUGCCGUGGCUUCUGGAACAACCAGCCCCAACAGCCCUCUGGCACUGCAUGAUUUCCCUCUCCUUCCUACAGGAGCCCACAAGACUAUGUCCUUCUGCCUUUCUGUGGUCCUGGUGCCUUUAUCCCGAUCCUCUCUUAAUCCCCUCAACACUGUGAUUGUGCAGACAAACUAGUCUAGAUUCAAGUCCAGCCCCACUAAGGCUGUGUGAUCCAGACAAGUGACUUCAUGUGUUUGGGACUCAAUUUACUGUUCUUUGAAGUGAGGAUGACAGCACUUGUCUCCUAGGGCUGCUGUGAGGGUGAGAUGAGGUCCUGGCACACACCUGGGACAUCCUGGCUACACGGUGUUGACCUGAGAGCUCUCCCUAAUAAAACUCUGCAGGCUAACCUCCCUCUCCAAGAGUACUGCUGAGAACCUGACCUGUGAUGGUAGGAGGGUGAGACAUCUGUCGGCUGAUAGGCAGAUCUUCUGUCUCCUGGUUCCUGCCGUUUCCAUGUUGAGGCCCCCUCGCCCCCCACUUAGAUUAUUUUGCAGCAAAUCCCAGACAUCAUGUCAUUCUACCCAUAAAUCCAUAAAUAUUUCGGAAGCAUCAUCUUUUGAGGUAGUUCAGAUGCUAUUGCCUGGAUGGAUCACAAGGAGAAACAUCUUAAAGAGGUUGCUGCAGGUGGAAAAAGCACCAUCUUCCCUCCCCAUGCGCCAUGGACCUGUCCUGAGCCCAAAUCCCGAGCCUCCACCCUUUCUACCAAACUAUACCUUGGAGCAGGAGUGUGGGCCCUUCUUGGCUUA